This 253-nucleotide unclassified non-coding RNA is filed under the name uncultured Flavobacteriaceae bacterium. RNAcentral's name for it is "contains 16S-23S intergenic spacer region". It matches the Rfam family "Bacterial small subunit ribosomal RNA", at positions 524 to 776 of the family's 1533-position model. The record is from RNAcentral. Lineage: Bacteria; Pseudomonadati; Bacteroidota; Flavobacteriia; Flavobacteriales; Flavobacteriaceae.
UACGUAGGUGGCAAGCGUUAUCCGGAAUCAUUGGGUUUAAAGGGUCCGUAGGCGGGUUAAUAAGUCAGUGGUGAAAGUCUGCAGCUCAACUGUAGAACUGCCAUUGAUACUGUUAACCUUGAGUAAUUAUGAAGUGGUUAGAAUAUGUAGUGUAGCGGUGAAAUGCAUAGAUAUUACAUAGAAUACCGAUUGCGAAGGCAGAUCACUAAUAAAAUACUGACGCUGAUGGACGAAAGCUAGGGUAGCGAAAGGG